Molecule: long non-coding RNA, 970 nt
Filed under: Dasypus novemcinctus (nine-banded armadillo)
Lineage: Eukaryota; Metazoa; Chordata; Mammalia; Cingulata; Dasypodidae
Description: lncRNA (ENSDNOG00000050233.1)
Source: RNAcentral
CCACGCUCGCCGCAGCCCCGCCCUCCGCCCCCACGCGGGGCUGGACCCAGGCCCGGCGGGCGCCCGGGUGGGAAGGGUCCUCGGGGUGUCGGUCGCCGGCGAGCUGCGGGGAGUCGCGGGUUAGUUUCGGGCGCGCUCUGGGUAAUCGCGUCCACCGCUUUGCUUGGAAAGACUUGAAGUGGCGCCAGGUGCUUUUAGAAAGACGUGGUUUUCAAAGCUAAUUAUGAAAACGUUUAUCAUUGGAAUCAGUGGCAAGUGCCAAGAUUUCAUUUUAGUGCUGUAUCUUCUGUGAAACCCCUACCAGACUCAACUGAAGUAACCUCUGUAAGUUCUUUUCUUCCUUCAUCUAAACUCACUGUGUUAUCUUUCUUAUGUACUUACCACUUGCUGCCCUGUGAGGGAAUUAUUCAAUUGAGACUGUUCUGGGAGCAUCUGUGAACCCUCUGAACGUUUUAGGCAUAUGUGAAGAUGUUUAUUUUUCUGGAGAAAUGGUUUUGUUAGCUUCAUCACAUUUCACAGAGUUCCAUGCUGCAAGAGAAGUUUACGAUGCAUGGGCUUUGGAGUUAGACUUUUAUCCCACCUCCAUUGCUUACUAGUCACUACCUUGGGCACAUUUUAUUAAACUGUUCAAGUCUGUUUCCUCAACUGAAAGAUGGGAACAUUAGUGUCUACCUGCUGCGCAGAAUGGAUUCUCCACUUACUUGAGUAAUUGCAGACAGCCUUUUUAACUUCUCCCUAGCAUACUGUCAUGUUCUAAGUACAGUGAGCCUUCGUAUAACCUGGCACAUGAAAAAUAAAUGGGCCAGGAAUUGUGCAUUUAUUUGGCUUUUUUUCACAAAGAAAAAAGUAGCACCUAAAUAGUCGUCUGUCUUCCUUCCCUAGAUCCUAGAACAGAUCAUGGCUCCUCUGUGAGCAUUCUUCUCCUCAAGUUGGAUAGCACAUGACAGGUUACUGGUGGCCAAGAGCAGGC